RNAcentral lists this ribosomal RNA (497 nucleotides) under uncultured bacterium. Its description in RNAcentral is "partial 16S ribosomal RNA". It matches the Rfam family "Bacterial small subunit ribosomal RNA", at positions 28 to 507 of the family's 1533-position model. The record is from RNAcentral.
GAUGAACGCUGGCGGCGUGCCUAAUACAUGCAAGUCGAGCGAACAGACGAGGAGCUUGCUCCUCUGACGUUAGCGGCGGACGGGUGAGUAACACGUGGAUAACCUACCUAUAAGACUGGGAUAACUUCGGGAAACCGGAGCUAAUACCGGAUAACAUGUUGAACCGCAUGGUUCAACAGUGAAAGACGGUCUUGCUGUCACUUAUAGAUGGAUCCGCGCCGCAUUAGCUAGUUGGUAAGGUAACGGCUUACCAAGGCAACGAUGCGUAGCCGACCUGAGAGGGUGAUCGGCCACACUGGAACUGAGACACGGUCCAGACUCCUACGGGAGGCAGCAGUAGGGAAUCUUCCGCAAUGGGCGAAAGCCUGACGGAGCAACGCCGCGUGAGUGAUGAAGGUCUUCGGAUCGUAAAACUCUGUUAUUAGGGAAGAACAAAUGUGUAAGUAACUAUGCACGUCUUGACGGUACCUAACCAGAAAGCCACGGCUAACUACGUG